Molecule: ribosomal RNA, 494 nt
Filed under: uncultured bacterium
Lineage: Bacteria
Description: partial 16S ribosomal RNA
Rfam family: Bacterial small subunit ribosomal RNA
Source: RNAcentral
AUUGAACGCUGGCGGCAUGCUUUACACAUGCAAGUCGAACGGCAGCGGGGAGGAGCUUGCUUCUCUGCCGGCGAGUGGCGAACGGGUGAGUAAUACAUCGGAACGUGUCGAGAAGAGGGGGAUAACCACCCGAAAGGGUGGCUAAUACCGCAUAAAUUCUGAGGAAGAAAGCUGGGGACCUAGGAAUAGGCCUAGCGCUUUUUGAGCGGCCGAUUUCGGAUUAGCUAGUUGGUGAGGUAAAGGCUCACCAAGGCGAAGAUCUGUAGCGGGUCUGAGAGGAUGAUCCGCCAAACUGGGACUGAGACACGGCCCAGACUCCUACGGGAGGCAGCAGUGGGGAAUUUUGGACAAUGGGGGCAACCCUGAUCCAGCCAUGCCGCGUGUAUGAAGAAGGCCUUAGGGUUGUAAAGUACUUUUGUUAGGGAAGAAAAGUCAGCUGUGAAUAAUGGCUGAUACUGACGGUACCUAAAGAAUAAGCACCGGCUAACUACGUG